UGACCACUUCUUGAGUACAGGAAGUUAAGGCCAUACGGACAGCCGGGUCAAAUGCCGA
Molecule: small RNA, 58 nt
Filed under: Paenibacillus massiliensis 2301065 = DSM 16942
Lineage: Bacteria; Bacillati; Bacillota; Bacilli; Caryophanales; Paenibacillaceae
Description: Streptococcus sRNA SpF59 (ldcC RNA)
Rfam family: Streptococcus sRNA SpF59 (ldcC RNA)
Source: Rfam by way of RNAcentral